CGGGGCGUGGCUCAGUUUGGCUAGAGCGCCUGCUUUGGGAGCAGGAAGUCACAGGUUCAAGUCCUGUCGCCCCGA
RNAcentral lists this transfer RNA (75 nucleotides) under Candidatus Omnitrophota bacterium. Its description in RNAcentral is "Candidatus Omnitrophica bacterium tRNA-Pro". It matches the Rfam family "tRNA". Rfam says of the family: Transfer RNA (tRNA) molecules are approximately 80 nucleotides in length. Lineage: Bacteria; Pseudomonadati; Candidatus Omnitrophota. The record is from RNAcentral.